This 1108-nucleotide ribosomal RNA is filed under the name Salmonella enterica. RNAcentral's name for it is "bacterial SSU rRNA". It matches the Rfam family "Bacterial small subunit ribosomal RNA", at positions 1 to 1102 of the family's 1533-position model. The record is from RNAcentral. RNAcentral also lists the same sequence under 3 other names. Lineage: Bacteria; Pseudomonadati; Pseudomonadota; Gammaproteobacteria; Enterobacterales; Enterobacteriaceae.
UGAAGAGUUUGAUCAUGGCUCAGAUUGAACGCUGGCGGCAGGCCUAACACAUGCAAGUCGAACGGUAACAGGAAGCAGCUUGCUGCUUCGCUGACGAGUGGCGGACGGGUGAGUAAUGUCUGGGAAACUGCCUGAUGGAGGGGGAUAACUACUGGAAACGGUGGCUAAUACCGCAUAACGUCGCAAGACCAAAGAGGGGGACCUUCGGGCCUCUUGCCAUCAGAUGUGCCCAGAUGGGAUUAGCUAGUUGGUGAGGUAACGGCUCACCAAGGCGACGAUCCCUAGCUGGUCUGAGAGGAUGACCAGCCACACUGGAACUGAGACACGGUCCAGACUCCUACGGGAGGCAGCAGUGGGGAAUAUUGCACAAUGGGCGCAAGCCUGAUGCAGCCAUGCCGCGUGUAUGAAGAAGGCCUUCGGGUUGUAAAGUACUUUCAGCGGGGAGGAAGGUGUUGUGGUUAAUAACCGCAGCAAUUGACGUUACCCGCAGAAGAAGCACCGGCUAACUCCGUGCCAGCAGCCGCGGUAAUACGGAGGGUGCAAGCGUUAAUCGGAAUUACUGGGCGUAAAGCGCACGCAGGCGGUCUGUCAAGUCGGAUGUGAAAUCCCCGGGCUCAACCUGGGAACUGCAUUCGAAACUGGCAGGCUUGAGUCUUGUAGAGGGGGGUAGAAUUCCAGGUGUAGCGGUGAAAUGCGUAGAGAUCUGGAGGAAUACCGGUGGCGAAGGCGGCCCCCUGGACAAAGACUGACGCUCAGGUGCGAAAGCGUGGGGAGCAAACAGGAUUAGAUACCCUGGUAGUCCACGCCGUAAACGAUGUCUACUUGGAGGUUGUGCCCUUGAGGCGUGGCUUCCGGAGCUAACGCGUUAAGUAGACCGCCUGGGGAGUACGGCCGCAAGGUUAAAACUCAAAUGAAUUGACGGGGGCCCGCACAAGCGGUGGAGCAUGUGGUUUAAUUCGAUGCAACGCGAAGAACCUUACCUGGUCUUGACAUCCACAGAACUUUCCAGAGAUGGAUUGGUGCCUUCGGGAACUGUGAGACAGGUGCUGCAUGGCUGUCGUCAGCUCGUGUUGUGAAAUGUUGGGUUAAGUCCCGCAACGAGCGCAAC